This 404-nucleotide unclassified non-coding RNA is filed under the name soil metagenome. RNAcentral's name for it is "partial contains 5.8S ribosomal RNA, internal transcribed spacer 2, and large subunit ribosomal RNA". The stretch from base 5 to 120 matches the Rfam family "5.8S ribosomal RNA", at positions 40 to 154 of the family's 154-position model. The record is from RNAcentral.
GAUGAGAACGCAGCGAAAUGCGAUAAGUAAUGUGAAUUGCAGAAUUCAGUGAAUCAUCGAAUCUUUGAACGCACCUUGCGCCCUUUGGCCAUUCCGAAGGGCAUGCCUGUUUGAGUAUCAUGAACACCUCAACUCUUUAUGGUUUUCCAUGAUGAGCUUGGACUCUGGGGGUUUUGCUGGCUCACAGUCGGCUCCUCUAAAAUGAAUCAGCUUACCAGUGUUUGGUGGGUAUCAUGGGUGUGAUAACUAUCUACGCUUGUGGUUUUUCCACCAGGUAACCUUCAGCAGUGGAGGUUCGCUGGAGCUCAUAGAUGUCUCUCCUCAGUGAGGACAGCCCUUUGAAUGUUUGAUCUCAAAUCAGGUAGGACUACCCGCUGAACUUAAGCAUAUCAAUAAGCGGAGGA